This is a non-coding RNA of Arachis ipaensis, 356 nucleotides long. The record is from RefSeq and is a predicted model, not a curated record. Lineage: Eukaryota; Viridiplantae; Streptophyta; Magnoliopsida; Fabales; Fabaceae.
CAGGUAAACACCAUCAUGGAUAUUAUUUGCCAUAUUAUUUUUGGAACCUUUGGAUGGGCUUAAUAUCUUAUUUUUGCUGUAAAUAAUGCAAAUAGUUUCUGUUUAUUUUGUUCUUCAUACUUUCAAAAACUAAUUGAAUAAAGAAUUUUUUGCUGGAUCUUUAUUUCAAAGUGAACUUGAGUUUCCAUUUCUAGCACUUUUCUUGGUCAUCCUUUCCCCUUAUGAGGUCAUGAGAUUUAGGGACACAAAAGGAGGUGCUAUCAUUUCAAUAUUGAUUGCAGUGUAUUUGACUUACCAGCAUUUCUCAAGAACAAGUUUACAGAAAUCACUUGAUCAAGGUUCAAUUGUUGCCACCA